UGCGUAGGUGGUUUCUUAAGUCAGAGGUGAAAGGCUACGGCUCAACCGUAGUAAGCCUUUGAAACUGGGAAACUUGAGUGCAGGAGAGGAGAGUGGAAUUCCUAGUGUAGCGGUGAAAUGCGUAGAUAUUAGGAGGAACACCAGUUGCGAAGGCGACUCUCUGGACUGUAACUGACACUGAGGCACGAAAGCGUGGGGAGCAAACA
This 206-nucleotide ribosomal RNA is filed under the name uncultured bacterium. RNAcentral's name for it is "partial 16S ribosomal RNA". It matches the Rfam family "Bacterial small subunit ribosomal RNA", at positions 568 to 774 of the family's 1533-position model. The record is from RNAcentral.